UUAUUGUGCUUCAAAAUGGGCAAUAGAGGGUUUGACGGGGUCAGUUGCGAAGGAGUUGCCCCCUGGAAUGGCAGCUGUUGGACCUAAUCCUGGUGUCAUCUACACGGACAUGCUUCAGUCGUGCUUUGGCAAUUCAGCAUCCCUCUACCAGACACCUGAGUCAUGGGCUCCCAAGGCAGCUAAUAUGAUACUAAAUCUGACCAUGGCCGAUAACGGGGCGUCUUUCUGUGCAAGUUAUGGUUGAGUGACAUACUAGCUUUAGUAGGUAGCAGAGUGAUGGAAACCUCCAGCAUUUGACUCCAUCGAGUAUGAUAUCAUUAUCCCCCCAGAGCUGUCUUAUGUUUUUAUGAGUUUAGGAGAUUUAAAAGAUUUGUAAUGUUUUGAGCAACUAAGAGGGGGUCAAAGGCAGUUUAGGCUUAUGUAAAUUUUUGUCUAUUUGUUUGAUCAAGUAGGUCAUUUUUUCCGAGCAAUGUUCUUGUUUUCAUUGCUAUUUGCUAAUGUAUCAGCUGGUCAUCCUCCUAAUCAUCCAUAACACAACCAAAUUUGCCUGAUAGCUAGUACUUGGUUCGUGUAGUUAUUGUCACUCUGCUAUUAUAUAAUUCUGAGGUGCAUUCUUUCAUUCAGUAA
Molecule: long non-coding RNA, 627 nt
Organism: Lycium ferocissimum
Lineage: Eukaryota; Viridiplantae; Streptophyta; Magnoliopsida; Solanales; Solanaceae
Exons: 2
Source: RefSeq, a predicted model, not a curated record